This 129-nucleotide small RNA is filed under the name Salmonella enterica subsp. enterica serovar 4,[5],12:i:-. RNAcentral describes it as "RtT sRNA". It matches the Rfam family "RtT RNA". Rfam says of the family: This family represents a bacterial cis-regulatory element known as RtT RNA. The exact function of RtT is unknown although it is thought that it may be involved in changing the cellular response in relation to amino acid starvation. Lineage: Bacteria; Pseudomonadati; Pseudomonadota; Gammaproteobacteria; Enterobacterales; Enterobacteriaceae. The record is from RNAcentral.
CAUAUCUCCCGUACGGGAAGGAUGAGAAGCUUCGACUAAGGUUCGAUUCGAGCGCAGCGAGAACGCGUUGCCGCAGGCAACGACCCGAAGGGCGAAGCGCGCAGCGCUGAGUCAUCCUUCCCACCACCA